GCUAGAAUCCUUUACAAUGCGCGCAAGCGUGAUAAGGGAAACCCAAGUGCUCACUUCAAGUGGGCUUUUGCCAAGUGUAAAUAUCUUGGCGAAUAAGUGGUGGGAAAGACUGGUGCCAGCCGCCGCGGUAACACCAGCGCCACAAGUGGUGAUCACAUUUAUUGGGUCUAAAGCGUCUGUAGCCGAUUUAGUAAAUCUUUUGUGAAACUGUGAGGCUUAACCUUACAACGUGCAAAAGAGACUGCUAAGUUAGGGACCGGGAGAGGUAAUGAGAACUCCUUGGGAAGCGGUAAAAUGUUUUAAUCCUUGGAGGACUACCUAUGGCGAAGGCACAUUACCAGAACGGAUCCGACGGUGAGAGACGAAAGCUAGGGGAGCGAUCAGG
RNAcentral lists this ribosomal RNA (385 nucleotides) under uncultured bacterium. RNAcentral's name for it is "bacterial SSU rRNA". It matches the Rfam family "Archaeal small subunit ribosomal RNA", at positions 339 to 727 of the family's 1478-position model. The record is from RNAcentral.